GUGUUACAAAAAGGCUUUGAGGGCAAGGUGACGCCACGUAGUCCAAUUGGAAUAAAGCUAGAAGAUAAUGAAGUGCUCAAAAGAGUGGCCUAUGUUUAAAAAAAGAAGAAGAAAGAAACAUUAAAUAGAGUUACAAUUUUUUUUUUCUUUAAUGUUGAUAUCCAAAUACCCUGUGUUUUUUUUGGGAAGAUUGUAUUUAUUUCUGAAAAAACUUGUGGGAAUUUUGUGAGGUUGAGAAUGUUUAGUGUCAACUAAAAAAAGAACCUUUUUUCCGUGUGGUUCAUUCUACAGGUUGGUCUAGCAAGAACAGUAGAUCCUUUCAUGGUGUUAGCUGUGAAUUGAGGUAAAAAAAUGAGUUUAUGAUUCAAUAUGAUAAUAGUAGAAGUGAGAGAUUGGGGAAUUUUUUCGAUUAUUGGAUGUUUAUGUGGUGGUCUUCAUGCAAUUCUUGGAGGAUAACAAUGGAGGGUUCAUCUGAAUCUGCUUGGCAGCAGGAGUGUGAUAGUUCUAGGGCAUUGGAUACUUCUGGUGUCUCAGAUAGGGGUCCAAGUUCGUUUCGUGCAGAAAGGACCGGCAUUUCAGGUGAUUUUGGGUUUACGGAAGAGGAUGGUAGGGACGUGUUGACUCAUAAUGAUAACCUUAGAAGCCAAAUUGGUGUUUCCGGGGUUUGCGAGACGGCAGUAAACCCUUUUGUUCGUUCUAUUGAAUGGGGUGAUGUUAGCUUGAGGCAAUGGUUGGAUAAACCGGAAAGAUCGGUUGAUGUCUUUGAAUGUUUGCACAUUUUUAGACAAAUAGUUGAGAUUGUAAAUAUAGCACAUUCACAAGGGAUCGUUGUUCAUAAUGUUCGACCUUCGUGCUUUGUUAUGUCUUCGUUUAAUCACAUUUCCUUCAUUGAAUCUGCAUCUUCUUCGGAUUCGGGAUCGGAUUCUGUCGAGGAUGCAUUAAAUAGCCAAAAUAUGGAAGAAGUUAAGGGUUUGUCCUCUACUUUGCCCCUUGACAUGCAUCAACAACGUAGGCUGAUAAAAGAUUAUGUACAAACUCCAACAAAUGCUUUAUCUGAAGCUAGUUGCAUGCAGUCGGGCUCAGUUUGUCCAAGGAAUGCUCAAUUAGAGGAGAGUGAAGAAAAUAAAAUCAUCGACUAUCGAAAUUCUGAGCAAGUAGAAGAGAAAAAGCAACCAUUCCCCAUGAAACAGAUGUUGCUCAUGGAGACCAGUUGGUACACCAGUCCUGAAGAGGUUGCUGGCUCUCCCAGUACAUGUGCUUCCGACAUCUAUAGGUUGGGAGUUCUCCUUUUCGAGUUAUUCUGCCCUUUCAGUUCAAGAGAAGAGAAGACUAGAACUAUGUCUAGUUUAAGACAUCGAGUUCUUCCUCCACAGUUGCUACUAAGGUGGCCGAAGGAAGCUUCGUUUUGUUUGUGGUUGUUGCUUCCUGAGCCAAAUAGUCGUCCAAAAAUGGGUGAGUUGUUACAGAGUGAGUUUCUUAAUGAACCAAGGGAUAAUCUGGAAGAACGUGAAGCUGCAAUUGAGCUCCGGGAGAGAAUAGAGGAGGAGGAGUUACUGGUGGAAUUCCUUUUGCUUGUACAACGCAGGAAACAGGAAGUUGCUGAUAGGUUGCAAGAUACUAUUUCUUUUCUAUGUUCCGACAUUGCAGAAGUUAUGAAGCAGCAAGCAAUCUUAAAGGAAAAGGGAAACUCAUGCAUGGAACCAGGGAAAGAUGACAAUUCUACAUCGAAUCUUCCCUCAAUAAAUAUUGUCGAUAUUGAUGAUUCUUCUAGCUUGGGAUCUAGAAAACGAUUUAGACCAGGACUUAGGGUUCCAAAUGUUGAAGAAUGUGGUGAUAAUCUAGAAACUCGUCAAAAGUUUGAUACACAGACUGAAAAUCGAGAAAGUUUUCUCCAGAAAAGUUCUCGGUUGAUGAAAAACUUUAAGAAACUCGAGUCAGCAUAUUUUUUAACAAGGUACAGACCAGUGAAGCAAUCCGGGAAGCCAUCGGGUAGACAAACACCAUUGAGUAGUGAUGGCCGAGGAUCGAUUGUUAUGACCGAAAGAAGUUCUGUCAAUAAUUUAACAUCGAAAGAGAGCUGUAGCGAGAGCUCGGAAAGCGGAUGGAUAAACCCAUUCCUUGAGGGCUUGUGCAAGUAUCUAUCUUACAGCAAGUUAAAAGUUAAGGCAAAUUUGAAACAAGGAGAUUUAUUAAAUUCUUCCAAUCUGGUAUGCUCUCUCGGGUUUGAUCGCGACGCAGAAUUUUUUGCUACAGCUGGUGUAAAUAAGAAGAUUAAAGUAUUUGAAUGUGAUGCGGUCAUAAAUCAAAAUCGUGACAUCCACUAUCCGGUGGUUGAAAUGGCUAGUCGUUCAAAGCUAAGCAGUAUAUGUUGGAAUAGUUAUAUUAAAAGUCAGAUUGCAUCGAGUAACUUUGAAGGAGUGGUGCAGGUGUGGGAUGUCACAAGAAGUCAAAUACUCACUGAAAUGAGAGAACAUGAGAAACGCGUAUGGUCCAUCGACUUUUCAUCAGCAGAUCCAACAGUUUUGGCUAGUGGGAGCGAUGACGGCUCUGUAAAGCUAUGGAGUAUCAAUCAGGGAGCAAGUAUUUGUACCAUCAGGACAAGGGCCAAUGUUUGCUGCGUCCAGUUUCCUUCCGAAUCUGGUCGUUCUCUUGCAUUCGGAUCAGCUGAUCAUAAAAUUUAUUACUAUGAUCUUCGAAACUCUAGGAUUCCUCUAUGCACGCUAGUUGGACACAAUAAAACCGUGAGUGACGUCAAGUUUGUUGAUGCAAAUACUCUCGUGUCUUCUUCCACGGAUAAUACUUUGAAGCUUUGGGAUUUGUCAGUGAGCAAUUCUCAGGUUAUUGAUACUCCCCUUCAGUCCUUUACUGGCCACAUGAAUGUAAAGAACUUUGUGGGCUUGUCGGUAUCCGAUGGUUACAUUGCUACUGGCUCUGAGACUAAUGAGGUAUUCAUAUACCAUAAGGCUUUCCCGAUGCCAGCGUUGACAUUCAAGUUCAACAACAUGGAUCCACUUUCCGGACAAGAAAUGGAUGAUGCCGCGCAGUUUAUCUCGUCUGUUUGUUGGCGCGGUCGGUCUUCUACCCUAGUAGCUGCAAAUUCAACCGGGAAUAUCAAAAUUCUGGAGAUGGUUUAGUUUGGCCUACUUCUCUUGGAUUCAUCAUCCAUGGUUGAAGCAAGAACACAAACAAAAUCCGUGCCGGCACAAAAACUUUGAUCGAAUAAAUACAGUUCAUGGGGAAGCAGAGCAGGCAAAGAUGAUGACCCGGAUUUGAGAAUCCACCCAAAACUAUCCAAACUGUAAAUCUGAACCCGAACUUGAACAGGAUCUAAUGAUAAUCAAGAUUAGGUCAAAUAAGCAGUGUUAUUAUUGAAGUUUUUCUAUUAGAUACAAUUUUUUUUACUGAUGUUUGUAUUCCUCGUUGAUUCAAUUUCUCCAUAUAAUUAAAUCUAUCUACACUGAUCUUGACCAUUAUUAGCUUUCAUAGCUAACCUAGCUAUGAGUUGGCAAAGCCUUUGAGCUCCUGGACCUGGCUUGAUCUUGUUCGAGUCCCCAACUUCUGAACAUGUUAGUUUGCCGGAACACCAAGCGCCAGGAGUGAAACUCCCCUUUGCCCUGCCAAGCAAAUCUGCAUCAAUCUUGUCCAAGACGGGAUCAUCGUGUUUGAAUUUCCGGGCAAAUGCUGCAUUGCUCUGUAUCAUCUUAUCUGUGUCAUUAAUGUUAAGGAUGUGUGGGUGUUGUUUCGGGGGAUUAUCCCACGAAAUAUAGUGCAAAUCAUGGUUGACAACCGUCUUGGCAAAUUCGGGAACGUUGCAUACGACUGUCUGGAAGUAGCCUUCAGGGGAGGAAACGAAGUUUGUGUAAUACAUGAGAAGUGUUCUUGGUAGAUUAUCCCAACCCCAAACACAGAACUCUACAAACGGACGAGAUAAAACUGUCCAUGCCGAACCUGCAAUCAAAGGUGUUCCGAAACAGUUAACCGCAAAUCUUGUAAGCUGAAACAAAUGUACCGUUUUUGUUCUGAACACGAGUAUUAACCAGUAAAUAGUUUAAAUGCUGUAGGCAAUGUUCUCCUUGGUGUGGCCAAAUAUAUAUCAGACUUAGUUGACAUGUAAAGUCCAGGAUCUACAAUCAAAGGCUUAGCUCUUUCAUUCCUGCAGAAACAA
RNA transcript from Gossypium arboreum, 4165 nucleotides. It is a transcript of the gene named protein SPA1-RELATED 3-like, with no coding region annotated. The record is from RefSeq and is a predicted model, not a curated record. The transcript has 9 exons. Lineage: Eukaryota; Viridiplantae; Streptophyta; Magnoliopsida; Malvales; Malvaceae.